AGCAUUUCUUCCCCUCACCUUUCCCUGGCUCAGGAGGAACAGCAGAAACCAAAGACCAGUGGUUCUUGUGUCCAGCCUAUAACUUGGAUGACUUGUUGGGGAACAGAUUCCUGAGCCGCAACCCUGAAGAUGCUAAUUCAGUUUACACUGUGGUCAAAGGGAUUCUGUUUAACUAAAAAAUUUCAAACCCAGCAAAAAGUUGAAAGGUCUGGUGACCACCCAUAGACCCAUUGGAAUCCCAGGGGACCCAGCAUGGAGCUCCAUCCACUGUGCACUGAAAACAUCAAACCGGGGGCUGCCGAGGUGUAUCCCUGCACACGUCUCAUCUGUCGGAGAAGCUCAGUGCCCGACCACAGCAGAUGGCCCCUCCAAGAUUUCCUGUGUUCAACACUCAAUUCUAAGAAUCUCGGCUCUGGAAGAACUUCAGGCAUCUCCCACCCCUUACGUCACAACUUCACGUGGCCCAGACCCCUCCACGACACUCAAAAUUCCUAAAGGUUCCUAGACAAGAGGCUGCUGAACUCAUUCCAGGGUCUCAUGGCAGAAGCUUUCCCUGAUACCUCAUUCCAGUCUCUCCUGUUAUUACUUUAACAAAUAAAAAGAUACCCC
Molecule: long non-coding RNA, 609 nt
Filed under: Heterocephalus glaber (naked mole-rat)
Lineage: Eukaryota; Metazoa; Chordata; Mammalia; Rodentia; Bathyergidae
Description: lncRNA (ENSHGLG00000036894.1)
Source: RNAcentral